Molecule: unclassified non-coding RNA, 782 nt
Filed under: Hevea brasiliensis (rubber tree)
Lineage: Eukaryota; Viridiplantae; Streptophyta; Magnoliopsida; Malpighiales; Euphorbiaceae
Source: RNAcentral
CUUCACAUGGGGGAGCUCUGAGCUCUGAUUUCACAAAUCUCAUACCUCGCCCCCCAUUCCCCUAAAUUUCCGAUCCCUACCCGCUAGAUUCGCACUCAUGGAGGCGAGCGCCGGCCUGGUCGCCGGCUCCCACAACCGUAACGAGCUCGUCGUCAUCCGGCGAGACGGGGAAUCCGGCCCAAAACCCCUGCAGCAGCUCAGCGGUCAGAUUUGCCAGAUUUGCGGCGACGAUGUCGGGCUCACCGCCGACGGCGAGCUGUUCGUCGCCUGCAAUGAAUGCGCCUUCCCGGUGUGCCGCACCUGCUAUGGGUACGAGCGCAAAGAGGGGAACCAGGUCUGCCCCCAGUGCAAGACCCGGUACAAGAGGCUCAAAGGAUGUGCGCGGGUCGCCGGAGACGAUGAAGAGGAUGACACCGAUGAUCUUGAGAAUGAGUUCAGUUUUACUGGGAGGGAGAGAAAUGAUAUGCAGUACAUGGCGGAGGCUAUGCUGCAGGGGCACAUGAGGUAUGGUCGCGGCAGCGAUCUUGAUAUGCCGCAGGUGGUUCAUACAAUGCCUCAUGUUCCGCUGCUCACCAGUGGCCAGAUGGUUGAUGAUAUUCCGCCGGAGCAGCAUGCUCUUGUGCCAGCCUUCAUGGGCGGGGGAGGGAAGAGGAUUCACCCGCUUCCGUUCUCAGAUAGUGUUCCAGUUCAACCCAGAUCUAUGGAUCCAUCAAAGGAUCUUGCUGCUUAUGGCUACGGGAGCGUGGCGUGGAAGGAGAGGAUGGAGCAUUGGAAGCAGAAGC